RNAcentral lists this ribosomal RNA (433 nucleotides) under uncultured bacterium. RNAcentral describes it as "partial 16S ribosomal RNA". It matches the Rfam family "Bacterial small subunit ribosomal RNA", at positions 29 to 507 of the family's 1533-position model. The record is from RNAcentral.
AACGAACGCUGGCGGCAUGCCUAACACAUGCAAGUCGAACGAGACCUUCGGGUCUAGUGGCGCACGGGUGCGUAACGCGUGGGAACCUGCCCUUAGGUUCGGAAUAACUCCCCGAAAGGGGUGCUAAUACCGGAUAAUGUCUUCGCACCAAAGAUUUAUCGCCUUUGGAUGGGCCCGCGUUGGAUUAGCUAGUUGGUAGGGUAAAAGCCUACCAAGGCGACGAUCCAUAGCUGGUCUGAGAGGAUGAUCAGCCACACUGGGACUGAGACACGGCGCAGACUCCUACGGGAGGCAGCAGUGGGGAAUAUUGGACAAUGGGCGAAAGCCUGAUACAGCAAUGCCGCGUGAGUGAUGAAGGCCUUAGGGUUGUAAAGCUCUUUUACCCGGGAUGAUAAUGACAGUACCGGGAGAAUAAGCUCCGGCUAACUCCGUG